AUUCUGGCCACAGAAGAUAACUGACAUUUCAGGUGGGCAGUGCCUACUAUCAGGAUGCUAUUAUUUAGCAUAGCAACAGCACCCACGAUAGUCACGAAAUGCUUAGUCCAGAGACAAGGAGUACAGGUGUUUUCACAUGUGCACGACUGUCUCAUUUUCAGAAUAUUGCAUAAAAAGUAACAGACUCCAUUCAGUGUACUCUGCAUCUUUUGCCUCUUUAGGCCUAAAAUUAAACAGGAAAGUCAAUACUGACUCCAACUCAAAAAGAUAGACUCUAUAAGAGCAAUAAGACUCCAUGUUGCCACAAGAAAGAUUUGAAGUCCUAUACUACACCUAUCUGCCCACCUACACGCUCACUCUAGGAUAUCGUCGAGAAAUUGUCUCAGUCUGAGAACUUACAUGGCCUCUUGUACCUAUGUAACUCAGCAUUCCAGACUUCAAUCUCAUUGCAUGCAAGGGUAGUUAAAGUCUGUGUAUCGGCCAAGCACACGUGGAUAUGUUAGUAUGUGUUCCAUCAGAAGGCCCAUAAUCAUUAAAUUGGUGGAAGGAUCCUCUGAAAUUCUGUGAGGGAGUUCAAAGACAUUAGUGAUAGAUGUCUCCACACUAGGAUGAGGACAAUCUUCAAAACACAGUGUACUUGGACUUCUGGGGAAACAUGACUCCACAUAAAUGUCUUUGAGCUAAAAACCAUUUAUCGGGAAUGCACAGCUUUCUUCCUGCUUCUGAAAGGACUGAUAAUUCAAAUGAUGGACACUACUAUAGUCGUGUUUUAUAUAACAAGCAAAGGGGAGCAAGAUGUACUUCUCUAUGUCAGGAGGCUGUAUAUCUAUAGAACUUUUGUAUUCACCAUGAAAUUACUGUGAUAGCAGUACAUUUAUCAGGAUUACAGAACAUUUUGACAGAUCAUCUCAGCAGACAAUUUUCAAGUGCCCACAAGUGGUCAGUAAUAGCAUAAUCCAAGACCUAUUUCUAAAGUGGGGUUAUUGCACCACAUACCUCUUUGCCACCAAAGAAAAUGAGAAAUAUCAAAACCUCUGCUCCAGAGAGGACAUAAUUAGGGAUUCCUAUCUGAUGCAUUCAUGAUAACAUGGUCCCUGGGCUUUGUCACAGUUACAGGGCAACUGUACCUGUAAUCGUCCUUUUGCUCCACCAAGGGCACACAUUUUAGGCUUUUGGCUCUCCGACAUUGUCUCUCAUGGGCAGAGACUUGUGUCUCACUCCUUCCUGACCAGGAGUUUUAAGGCUUCACAGAUCCAUGCCUUACACUGUGAUAGCCCGAGUAAGCAAACUGCCUAAAAAGUUGGCACUCGUGCUUUGCUUUCUCUCUGAGGAAGCUCUGACCCAUGUAUUGCCUGCGGUUGUAAGUUACCAUAAAGCUCCUUCUAAGCAAGCACAUUUAUUCUUAACAUAAAUGCAGUACAGAGAAAAUAUGUUGAAAACAGUAAAACAACCUACAAGCAUGCUAAAAAGCUUACCUGAGGUCAUCCCAACCUCAGGCUCUUGUAGGUGCCAGUCCUUCAAAACCUACAGCUGGGUUUUCCGAUGGUUACAAGGUCAUCUGUCUUAGAACCAGAACAGCUGGGUGGAUCAGCCAUUUCUUUAUAUAGCUUGGCCUUUUAUAUUACGUAAUCACCAGACAAUGGCACUCUCUUCAGGGCAUAGUUACAGAAGGCUGGGUUUUUGCAUAAUCGUAGUUGGGGAAUUUGCUUUAACUGUGCCCUAGGGAUUCCUCAGGAAAUCCACAUAAUUGUCCCAACAGUUCAUACCUGUGUGGCACGUUUUCAGUAUAUUCUUUUUGAACUCUCAGGUUCUACAUCUGUUCGCAUCUCCCCCUUCAAGAGGUUACGUACAAUCCUGGCCCACAAUAAUAUGUAAACUUAAUACAAUAAGAUCUUUCAAGAAAUUGCCAUAUCUGUCACAGGUCUGAUGUAUACUUAUCCUCCCGUUCCAUUAAUCCUGAGUGUUCUCAGAAGGCCUAGGCAGGACUCAGCCAAAAGAAUCAUGGUAGCUCCAGCAUGGCUGAGACAGUUCUGGUAUUGGGACCUAAACAAUGUCGCCAUCCAAAUUUGGAUACAGUUGCCUCUCCAGGCAGACAUAAUAUUGCAGAGAUGCAGUCAAAUCUUCCAUCCCAUUCUACUCACUCUGAACCUCACAGUAUGGAUGCUAUCUGGCUGACCUCUGUGGAAAGAUACCGUUCAUCUGAAAUACAAAGCAUCCUAAUCCAUAACAGAAGACUCAGCAAGGUGUGCUUAUGCAGCUAAAUGGAAGAAAUUCACUGCCCAGGUGCAGUAACGAUAGUAUCCCUAUCCCUGUCACAAAUACCAAACAUACUGGACUACCUUCUCUCUUUAAAGAACCCUGGAUUGUCAGUGAAUUUCCUGAGAUCAUCUAGUAGCCAACUCACUAACAGCAGUUUUCCACUCUCUAAUUCAGGGGUAGUGCAUAUUUUCAGGCCCUAUGCUAGCUAGAUUUUUGAAAAGCUGUAUGUGGGUAUGUCCCCAUGUCAUUGAUGCUCACCCUCCUUGGGAUCUAAAUAUUGUACUAAUGGGGUUAAUAGGCUCACCUGUAGAGCCACUGGCAACAUGUUCCCUGUUUUAUCUUUCCAUUAAAACAUCUUUCGAGUAGCAGUAACAUUGAUCGGAAGGGUAGAGGAGAUAGAGGCAGUCAUGGCAGGACCCCCGUGUGAUGGGUUACCCCCUACUCUGGGGUGCCACCUGAUGUACUGGAGUCCUAGUGAGCCCACCCAUUCCAGCAGCCUGGGCUCAUUCACCCUAUCCUGCUGUGCCAGGCCCUCAAGCCUCCUCUAGCACACACACACAGGUUAGGGACACACGCUUCAAACCCAAAUUUGUAUGGUCUUGCACUGCACAGAAAGCUGUACAGCAUAAGCUCAUGAAAGUUGCUCUCUCUCUCAGUGUGGAAGAAGAUAUGCACAGCUUCCCCCAGCGCCCCCAGAAUCCCUCAAAUGGUUUUAGCAUAAACAAAACAAGUUUAUUAACUACAAAGGUAGAUUUUAAGUGAUUAUAAGGAUUAGCAAACAGAUCAAAGCAGAUUACUGAGCAAAUAAAACAAAUGUGAAAACUAAGCUCAAUGCAUUAAAUAAACUAGUUACAAGUAGUAAUUUCUCACCCUAAGUGUUGUUUUAGGCAUUUCUUUCAUAGGCCAGACACCUUUUCCAGCCUGGGCUCAACUCUUAUCUCUUCCCCCCCCGCCCUUUUUUUUUUAGAUGUUCUCAGCAGUCAUCCUGGGCGAGGAUUCAGUGAAGAAUGAAUUCUGAUUAACUCACUCCCCUGUCUUAAAUAGGAUUUAUAUAUGGUGGGAAUCCUUUGUUUCCCAGUUUGGUCCCCAUCCCCUACUAAUGGAAAAAUACUAGUAGGCCAAGAUGGGGUCCAGUACCAGGUGACAUGAUCACAUGACCCUGCAGUGCCAAGGCAGCAUCCCAGGAAACUUCUCAGGAAGGUGGGAAAGUAGCAUCUUUAAAGUUCUAUUGUUCUCCCUAAUGGCCCUUUGACUGACCAGCCAGACUGAUUGCAUUUUGUCUGGUGGGCAUUCCCCAGGUGCAAAAAUUUUUGUAACUGAUACAUAAGCCAUAUUCCUAACGUCAGAUACAGAAAUUAUACAUGUAUAAAGUAGGAUAAUCAUAUUCAGUAAAUCAAAAACUUUCCAGUGAUAUCUCACAUGACCACUCUUGCAUAGAACACAUUGUAGUUAUAUUCAUAUCAUAUCUCUAUGAAUAAUACAGAGUGUAGGGUCAUACCCCAUAUACAAUUUUUCAUAAAGAGAAGGUGUCAUUGAAACAUCAACUGCAGUGAUCCCUGCCCAUAACUUAAAUCUAGUCAUCCGUCUACCUAUUCUUCCCCUAAAACUACAUUCAAAUAAAAGGCAAGGUAUAGCUUUUCACCUUAGAUGGUCUUAGAGCCCUUGCUUUCUAUAUAGAUAGAACUAAGUCACUGAGAAUAUCCCCCAGAUUUUUCAUAGUUUAUGAAUACAGGGCUAAAAGGUCAUUUCAACACAGUUUCUGACUGGAUUUCUGCUUGUAUCUAGCUGUAUUAUAUAUUAGCAAGAUAGCCCCAUCUAGGAGACUGACAGCUCACCCUACUGGGCACAAUAGAGUGAGCACUAUUACCAGAUCACUGUGGUGUUCCUGUAAGAAAAGUUCCCGUAUUGGAGAUAGGUAGGGCAGCUAUUUGCGGUGCAGUACAUGUAUUCACCCAGCAUUAUCCUGUAGUGGAGGUGUCAAGAUUCGAUGCUAAUUUUAGUGGAGCUCUCCUACAACUGCUAUUUAGGUAGACUCCUAGCACUCACCUCCAGUGAUCUAGGUCACUGCUUCUGAGUUACCAACCGUGGAAUAUAUAUGGACAAGCACUGAAAGAAAAGGAAAUGUUUACUUACAUGUAGUAGUUGUGGUUCUUUAACGUGUAUUGUCCAUGUAUAUUCCACGACCCAUCUCUCUUCCCCGCUGGUAUGAAACCUGAUAACACCUUAAUUCUGUAUUGGCGAAGGAACUGAGGGGUUGUUGGGAUUGCUCCUCCCUUUAUGUCCUUGGUAGGAGGCACGAGGACUCUCAGGUCAGCCCCCAAAAGACACUGUUGGCCAAAAUAAUCCAAACUUGAGUGCACUGGGUGCAUGCGCACCCGCCAGUGAAAUAUAUAUGGACAGCAAAUCCAGAAGGAACACAGCUACUGUAAGGCCUGGUCUACACUAUGUGUUUAUACCGAUUUUAGCAGCGUUAAACCGAUUUAAUGCACCUGUCCACACACCGAGGCCCUUUAUAUCGAUAUAAAGGGCUCUUUAAACCGGUUUCUGUACUCCUCCCUGACGAGAGGAGUAGCGCUGAAAUCGGUAUUACCGUAUCGGAUUAGGGUUAGUGUGGCCGCAAAUCGACGGUAUUGGCCUCCGGGCGGUAUUCCACAGUGCACCAUUGUGACUGCUCUGGAAAGCAAUCUGAACUCGGAUGCACUGGCUAGAUAGACAGGAAAAGCCCCGCGAACUUUUGAAUUUCAUUUCCUGUUUGCCCAGCGUGGAGAGCUCACCAGCACAGGGGACCACGCAGAGCUCAUCAGCACAGGUAAUAAUGCAGUCUCCUGAGAAUCGAAAAAGAGCUCCAGCGUGGACCGCACGGGAGGUACUGGAUCUGAUCACUAUAUGGGGAGAGAAUUCUGUGCUAACAGAACUCCGUUCCAAAAGACGAAAUGAAAAAACAUUUGAAAAAAUUUCCAAGGCCAUGAUGGAGAAAGGCCACACCAGGGACUCAGUGCAGUGCAGAGUGAAAGUUAAGGAGCUCAGACAGGCCUACCAGAAAACCAAAGAAGCAAACGAAAGGUCCGGGGCAGGGCCGAAAACAUGCCGCUUCUACGCUGAGCUGCAUGCAAUUCUAGGGGGGGUCCGCCACCACUACCCCACCCCCGUCCGUGGAUUCCGAGGUGGGGGUGGUAAUGUCAGCCAUGGCUGAGGAUUCUGCGGAUGGGGAAGAUGAGGAGGAGGAAGAGGAGGACGGCCUUGCAGAGAGCACACAGCACUCCGUUCUCUCCAACAUCCAGGAGCUUUUUCUCACCCAGACGGAAUUACCCUCCCAGCCCUCCCAAGCCACUAGCCCAAACAGUGAAGCCACGGAAGCGACCUCUGCUGCAAAUUUUUCAAGCCUCCCUACUCCAUCCCAAAGGCUAUCUCAGAUAAGGCGGCGGAAAAAAAAAGAUUCGAGACAAAAUGUUCUCGGAAAUCAUGGAAGUGACCCGCAAUGAAAGAGUUCAUCUGAAUGACUGGAAGGACGUGGUAUCAAAUUACAGGAAAGAUGCCAGUGAACGUGAGGACAGGAGGGACCAACAUGAGGAGAGGAGGGACGCUCAAGAUGAGAGGUGGCAGCAGGAAGAUCAGCGGUGGCGGAAUGCAAUGCUGGGGCUGCUGCGUGAUCAAACUGACAUCCUCCGACAUCUGGUGGAGCUUCAGGAACAGCAGCAGGGUCACAGAGUGCCGCUGCAGCCUGUGUAACCACCUUCACCCCUCACCAUGUCCAUAUCUUCCUCACCCAGAUGUAUAAGAAUGUGUGGCGGAAGGCUUCGUGCACCCGCCCACUCCAUCCCCUUGGACAGCCCAACCAAAAGACUGUCAUUACUUUGAAAUUUUUUUAGUAACCUUUUCCUUCCCUCCUAUCCUCCUCCCAGACCACACUCGGGCUACCUUGUCAGUUCUCUGCCUCUUUUUAUAAAGAAUACGUGAUUUUUAAA
Long non-coding RNA from Gopherus flavomarginatus (Mexican gopher tortoise), 6224 nucleotides. RefSeq lists it as uncharacterized. The record is from RefSeq and is a predicted model, not a curated record. Lineage: Eukaryota; Metazoa; Chordata; Testudines; Testudinidae. The transcript has 2 exons.